RNAcentral lists this ribosomal RNA (496 nucleotides) under uncultured bacterium. Its description in RNAcentral is "partial 16S ribosomal RNA". It matches the Rfam family "Bacterial small subunit ribosomal RNA", at positions 28 to 506 of the family's 1533-position model. The record is from RNAcentral.
GAUGAACGCUGGCGGCGUGCCUAAUACAUGCAAGUCGAGCGAACAGACGAGGAGCUUGCUCCUCUGACGUUAGCGGCGGACGGGUGAGUAACACGUGGAUAACCUACCUAUAAGACUGGGAUAACUUCGGGAAACCGGAGCUAAUACCGGAUAAUAUAUUGAACCGCAUGGUUCAAUAGUGAAAGACGGUUUUGCUGUCACUUAUAGAUGGAUCCGCGCCGCAUUAGCUAGUUGGUAAGGUAACGGCUUACCAAGGCAACGAUGCGUAGCCAACCUGAGAGGGUGAUCGGCCACACGGGAACUGAGACACGGUCCAGACUCCUACGGGAGGCAGCAGUGGGGAAUCUUCCGCAAUGGGCGAAAGCCUGACGGAGCAACGCCGCGUGAGUGAUGAAGGUCUUCGGUUCGUAAAACUCUGUUAUUAGGGAAGAACAAAUGUGUAAGUAACUAUGCACGUCUUGACGGUACCUAAUCAGAAAGCCACGGCUAACUACGU